UAGAGCAAACGUUCAGCUGCAUUUCAUUUCCCUGCGUCUCUCACUCACGCGUCUCUCUCACAUAACGUUACUCGCGCGCGCACAGCCCUCCCCUCCGUGCACACCGCGUCUCCAUGAGAACGAGUGUUGGAAGCAAGUUCGCGAAAGAUCUUAAAAUCUGUGUUUGCUUCACUAAACCUACAUUCUUCUGCAAGGCAUCUGACUUUUGUAAGGUAUGAGGCUUUUAUUCCGGAUUUCCAUGCUGAACGAAGGCCAGGAGAAAUGGCUCGGUGCAGAAAUAAUAGAUCAUCAGAUUGACCUAGUUUGCAGGACCGCGGGUGCUUGCGAAGGAUAAUUAUCUUCUUUGAAUCGUUUCCAUCAAUGCAUCAGUCAAUCAAUCUUCACCAACACCACACACCAUCAGCAACUCCAUUUUGUUGUUUCUUCUAAUGGAAACGGCUCUCCAUGAGAGUUCUGAUGAGUUCGAGUGAUGAACGAGGACACAGUUUGGUGAGAGGUACCAGUCCCUGGGUCCCCGUCCCCUAUCCAUACACAAUGUCCUUCGGCUCUCGCAGGCGCAUCAUGUACCGCCGGAGCGGACAGAUGAAGAAGAGGAUAUUAAGUGACUCUAUCUAACAUCCAGGACACAAUGGCGGUGAUUGAUGGAGGACAAAGUGGGAACAGCAGGACGGAGGAUGGGAGGGGGGUGUCCGUUGGGGGUCUCUGUCGAGAGCUGGUGUGCCGUCCCCGUCCGCCGUGUUUACUCACUGAUGCUCUCGACAAGACAGCCAUUGACACUCGGAUGGAUGAGUCCCGAUCUGCCGCGCAGAGCCAGAGGUUAGCGGGGCUGGAAUAUAGAGCUCCUCCACGACACGCUCUCUUCACCUAAUCUUCCGGCAAAAUAUUUAUCAUUAUCAAUUGGGGCCUGCUCUCUGACAUUAGAAUAGCACGUAUGGAUAAACCCCGGGAGGAUUAUCGAUCCGCCCGGCAGCAGCUUACACAGCCGGCCGUGAAAGACUCGGGGUCAUGCGGGACAAUAAGAAUAAAAGCAUGGUAUAUCCAGCCCUCCGCACAGGUUUAUUAAGUAAAACAAUGAACCAAAUCACA
Molecule: long non-coding RNA, 1086 nt
Organism: Cyprinus carpio carpio
Lineage: Eukaryota; Metazoa; Chordata; Actinopteri; Cypriniformes; Cyprinidae
Source: Ensembl